GACAGAGGUGCCGAGCGUUAGGCGGAAUCACUGGGCUUAAAGCGUGUGUAGGCGGGUCGUUAAGUGUCUUGUGAAAUCCCACCGCUCAACGGUGGAACUGCUGGGCAUACUGGCGAUCUUGAGCCACCUAGGGGCAGACGGAACAAGCGGUGGAGCGGUGAAAUGCGUAGAUAUCGCGUGGAACGCCGACGGUGAAAACAGUCUGCUGGGGGUGUGCUGACGCUGAGACACGAAAGCCAGGGGAGCGAACGGG
This 253-nucleotide ribosomal RNA is filed under the name uncultured bacterium. RNAcentral's name for it is "partial 16S ribosomal RNA". It matches the Rfam family "Bacterial small subunit ribosomal RNA", at positions 524 to 776 of the family's 1533-position model. The record is from RNAcentral.